UGAGGAACAUGACCUUCGGCGGGGGAGUAGCCGGCCCAACGGCCGGGUAAUACCGCGUACGACCACAUGGGGACGAUCCUCGAGUGGUGAAAGCAGCAAUGCACCGAAAGAGUGCCUCGCGGCCUAUCAGCUAGUUGGUGGGGUAACGGCUCACCAAGGCAACGACGGGUAGCUGGUCUGAGAGGAUGGCCAGCCACAUUGGGACUGAGACACGGCCCAGACUCCUACGGGAGCAG
This 236-nucleotide ribosomal RNA is filed under the name uncultured bacterium. Its description in RNAcentral is "partial 16S ribosomal RNA". It matches the Rfam family "Bacterial small subunit ribosomal RNA", at positions 118 to 347 of the family's 1533-position model. The record is from RNAcentral.